RNAcentral lists this ribosomal RNA (478 nucleotides) under uncultured delta proteobacterium. RNAcentral describes it as "bacterial SSU rRNA". It matches the Rfam family "Bacterial small subunit ribosomal RNA", at positions 69 to 523 of the family's 1533-position model. The record is from RNAcentral. Lineage: Bacteria; Deltaproteobacteria.
AAAAGGGGGGGCAAUCCCUGAGUAAAGCGGCGCACGGGUGAGUAAUGCGUAGGUAAUCUACCCUUGAGUCCAGGAUAACCUACCGAAAGGUGGGCUAAUACCGGAUAUGACCACGGGGAUCUCGGUCCCUGAGGUGAAAGGUGGCCUCUGUUUACAUGCUACCGCUCAUCGAUGAGCCUGCGCGCCAUUAGCUAGUUGGCGGGGUAACGGCCCACCAAGGCGAUGAUGGCUAGCUGGUCUGAGAGGAUGACCAGCCACACUGGGACUGAAACACGGCCCAGACUCCUACGGGAGGCAGCAGUAGGGAAUAUUGCGCAAUGGGCGAAAGCCUGACGCAGCGACGCCGCGUGGGUGAUGAAGGCCUUCGGGUCGUAAAGCCCUGUCGAGGGGAAAGAAACGGUCCCGACCUAACACGUCGGGGCCCUGACGGUACCCCUAAAGGAAGCACCGGCUAACUCCGUGCCAGCAGCCGCGGUAA